Molecule: long non-coding RNA, 1787 nt
Organism: Sciurus carolinensis (gray squirrel)
Lineage: Eukaryota; Metazoa; Chordata; Mammalia; Rodentia; Sciuridae
Exons: 8
Source: RefSeq, a predicted model, not a curated record
UGUGUGUCCUAGAUGGUUGUGCCUUCCACAUUAGGGCCUUGGGAAGGUGAACUACAGCUGCUUUCUCCUGUUCUAAUUUCUUCCACCCAGCACUGCAACUACACAUCAGUCGGCUGGUUGUUGUAGGAGUGCUGACUGUGCCUCAAACUCACUGUUGACCUACAGGAAGUCAGUGAUGACCCAGGGCCUUAGCUUCUUCUUCUGCCCAUGGAACAUUAAGCAGGAGUGAGGUCAUGCCAGUUCUAGACUGAAGCUUUAAGAGGCCCGUGUGUUUCUGUUCUCUUCUUUGAGCUCCCAUCAUUCAUGAAAACACACCCUGAGCAGCUGCUGGUUCCAGAACGAAUUUCACAAUGUAGAUUCAACUUGAAUCCAAACUGAAGAUUGAGUGUUGCCAAGACUAGUAGAGGCACAGCAAACCUACAGAUUUUUAAACAGAAUAAAUGCUUUCUGAUGACAGUUACUGAGAUUUGAGGUGAUAGUAACACAGCAUUAUCACUGUAGAAAUCUCACCAAGACACCUAACUAGUUGACGAGAGAGCCAGAAUUAGGACAUAAUUGUCUGAAUGGUAAUCCAAAGUCUUUCAACUAAAUUAUUCUGCACAUUCAACAAAUAUUUAAUUUAUAUGUACUAUGGACAAGAGAGUAAAACACAAACCAAACUAUGGACUCUGCCCCUAGAGAGAACAUAUUUCUAGCGAGGGAAACAGACCAAACAAAUAAAUUUAAAUCACAGAAAAUGACAACUUCUUAUAAUAGCACAAAUGUCCUUCUGAGGGAUAGAAAUGGGUGGGAAGAAGGAAAGAAGAUGACCACUUUAAGAAACUGAAGACCAGGCCUGAAGAGCAAGUUGUCCAAGGACACUAUGGUACUGCAGACAUUGGUGUCUUUCAGGUUUCUUCUCCCUUGAUGUGACUAGACUGUUUCAUCAGUCACCAACUCAUCCUACCACACAUACCUACAUUGAUGUACUGUACUACCAUAGGCCCAAAGCAACAGACCCAGGAUACCAUGAAUGGGAAGCUCUUAAACUAUGAGUUACUUUAAAUAAAUACAAGAUGGGAGAAAGAAAAUGUGCGAGAAAACUACAGUGUUGUUGGCAGGACAAGUAACCCAAACUGGAAGAGGGUCCCUGCGUUCAAUUUCCUCUCAGGAAGUUUUACCUUCAGAAGUCCAAGUAGAGGUCAAACUGUGGGUUGCCGGAAAUAGUAAUGUCCUUUACCGUCUGAGCGCCAGACGACACUUAAUGAAACCUCCUACUUUGUGGACAUUGCUGCUCCUGCUGAAUUAUGAAGCUUGCCAUGCACCACUUCUGCAGAGGAUAGCUUUGUUUUUGCAAAAUGCAUGGAAUGGAGUUUGUGGGUAUAUAGAUUGCAGGCAAUGAGAGACCUGAAUGAAUAUGUGAGAAUGACCACAAGCCACCAGACGUGGGUGUUUAUCCGUUUGCCUCAUUACUAAGAGUUUUUAGUUCUAAAAAAUAUCCGGGAGGAUUUAGCUUUGGGGAAGUAAAUGGGGAGAGGGAAUAGAAUAAGAUUUUUUAAAUUUAAAACAUAUUUUUUGAGCUUCCAACUGAUAUAUUCCAACUUCUUUACACUUGAAUCAGGGUUUCAUAAAGGGCAGUAGAGGAAAGAUUUUAUCAGUGCCCAUAGGCAUUAGAAAUUGAUUUUGACAGGAAUCAAUAAUUGGGAUAGAUUCAAACUAAAAAGCUUUUUCUCAGCAAAGGAAACAAUCAACAAUGUGAAGAGAGAGCCUACAGAGUGGGAGAAAAUCUUUGCCACUCACACUUCAGA